GGCUUAUUGAUUUUAAUUUUAGGUCAGGCCUGCCCAAUGAGUUUUAAAUGGCCGCGGUAUAUUGACCGUGCAAAGGUAGCAUAAUUAUUAGUUUUUUAAUUGAAAGCUUGUAUGAAAGGUUUGAUGAGAAAAUUUCUGUCUCUAAAAAAAUUUAUUAAAAUUUUAUUUUUAAGUUAAAAAGCUUAAAUUUAUGUAGAAGACGAGAAGACCCUAUAGAGUUUUAUAUUUAUUUAAACAAUGGAACUGGAGGAUUAAAAAUUUAUUUGUUUAUUUAUGUAUUUUGUUGGGGUGAUGAAAAAAUUAACUUAACUUUUUUUUAUAAGUACAUUAAUUUAUGGAAUUGUGAUCCUAAUAUUUAGAUUAUAAGAUAAAAUUACCUUAGGGAUAACAGCGUAAUUUUUUUUAGAGUUCUUAUCGAAUGAAAAGAUUGCGACCUCGAUGUUGGAUUAAAAUUAAUUAGUGGUGUAGAGGCUGCUUUGAUUAGGUCUGUUCGACCUUUAAAAUUUUACAUGAUCUGAGUUUAGACCGGCGUGAG
RNAcentral lists this ribosomal RNA (535 nucleotides) under Trigonopterus sp. 781 AR-2022a. RNAcentral describes it as "partial large subunit ribosomal RNA". It matches the Rfam family "Bacterial large subunit ribosomal RNA", at positions 1832 to 2625 of the family's 2925-position model. Lineage: Eukaryota; Metazoa; Arthropoda; Insecta; Coleoptera; Curculionidae. The record is from RNAcentral.